RNAcentral lists this ribosomal RNA (325 nucleotides) under uncultured eukaryote. RNAcentral's name for it is "partial 18S ribosomal RNA". It matches the Rfam family "Eukaryotic small subunit ribosomal RNA", at positions 1470 to 1796 of the family's 1831-position model. The record is from RNAcentral.
CCCUUAGAUGUUCUGGGCCGCACGCGCGCUACACUGACGAUGUCAGAGAGUGUCUCCUUCACCGAGAGGUGUGGGUAAUCUUUUAAACAUCGUCGUGCUGGGGAUAGAUCAUUGCAAUUUUUGAUCUUAAACGAGGAAUUCCUAGUAAGCGCGAGUCAUCAGCUCGCGCUGAUUACGUCCCUGCCCUUUGUACACACCGCCCGUCGCUCCUACCGAUUGAGUGAUCCGGUGAGGCUCUGGGACCUGGACGGAAAGAGCGUUUCGCUUGUUCUGUUUGGGAAACUUGGUCGAACCUUAUCAUUUAGAGGAAGGAGAAGUCGUAACA